UACGGAGGGGGCCAGCGUUGUUCGGAAUCAUUGGGCGUAAAGGGCGCGUAGGCGGCCACGCAAGUCGGAUGUGAAAUCCCUCGGCUCAACCGAGGAACUGCAUCCGAAACUGCGAGGCUCGAGUCCUGGAGAGGGUAGUGGAAUUCCCAGUGUAGCGGUGAAAUGCGUAGAUACUGGGAGGAACACCGGUGGCGAAGGCGGCUACCUGGACAGGUACUGACGCUGAUGCGCGAAAGCCAGGGGAGCAAACGGG
Molecule: ribosomal RNA, 253 nt
Filed under: uncultured bacterium
Lineage: Bacteria
Description: partial 16S ribosomal RNA
Rfam family: Bacterial small subunit ribosomal RNA
Source: RNAcentral